UUAAUUAAAACCAAAAUAAUAGGUAUAUCAUUGUUAAUGAUAAAAUUGAAUUAAUUAAAUAUUCUAAUUAAA
This 72-nucleotide transfer RNA is filed under the name Diptera sp. 77 LC-2017. RNAcentral's name for it is "tRNA-Asn". The record is from RNAcentral. Lineage: Eukaryota; Metazoa; Arthropoda; Insecta; Diptera.